Gadus chalcogrammus (walleye pollock) is the source of this 1274-nucleotide long non-coding RNA. RefSeq lists it as uncharacterized. The transcript is spliced from 4 exons. NCBI's taxonomy places the organism in Eukaryota, Metazoa, Chordata, Actinopteri, Gadiformes, Gadidae. The record is from RefSeq and is a predicted model, not a curated record.
AUGAGAUCGAAAAAUAUACAUGGGUUUCAAUGGAAAGAAAUUAAUAAUCGAAUUGUUCAGUUAAAGGCUGUAGAGAAAACACAAUGAGAAAGACUACAUGUCUCGUAUGUGCCGUCACGCUCCAUGUGACUGGCGUGGACAAGACAGACAAUCUCCACAUCAGCAUAACUGAAACUCCACAUGCCCCAAUUUAUAAUGGUUUUCACCUCUUGAUGCUUUUAUCCUCCCCUUGGAAAAAACCUAACAUUAUCAAACUUCUGAACGAAAAUGUUUAGUUUUCUUUGCAUGAAAAUGUAUAAUUUAAGUACAUAAACAACGUAUGUGUUAUCCGGAGCAUAUAAAGACUGGGACAAGAAAAUAAUUUCGCCAUUGAAACCCAUUCAUAUUUUUCGAUCUCAUAGGUCCCAUGGGCUCUACCGGAAAGCGCGUGACUUUGCCACUCAAUAGGGGAGGAUUAAAUAUGUGGUUUAAAAAACUCGGGCGCCCUCUACUGGUAAAUAGCGAGGUGUCUGCGACAGGCUUAUUCGUAAGGCUGUCUGCAGCAGCCAUCCCCUCCCUCCCGACCUGAAGUUCCCAGAUGUUAGGAUCAGACAGGACACCACGAGGUCAGAGGUCGGCGGUCUCCACCAUUGAAGCGGGGGGCUUGCCAGCCCCGGGUGACGGCGGCCAAGCCGUUGCUGCGCGCCCCCGGGUUCCCCACCCGCGCACCCGGACGCGGCGUGGGGGAGGCUGGCGGUUGGUUCGAUGGGAGACGCCGCUGGACGUAGCCAGUAGCUGAUUAGACAGAGGAGGGAUGACCCGGCGCGUCCUUGCUCUGUAUUGUCGGUCUCAACAGGCGCCCAUUGUCCUCGAGAGCAGUGGUUCUCAAACCUCUUCUACUGGUGUACCCCCUCUGAGAUAUUUUUUUAAGCUGAGGACCCCAUUCACCGGCACAAUUUAUUCUUGGGGAUAAAAUAUAAUAAAUAAAGAUAAAUAAUGUAUGUGCGUUGUAUUUGGUAGAAUAAACAUUUAAAGGGCGCAAAUGCUCACAAUUUAGUGAGAAAUAUGGGAUUGUGCUUCAUGCAACUGUUUCAGAUUUACAUUUAUUUACAUUUAAUUUUUUACCCCCGCAGUACUCCAAAGUACCCCCAGGGGUACGAGUACCCCCAUUUGAGAACCACUGCUCUAGAGGGUCAGAGUGAAUUGUGCAUUGUGUGAACUGAGUUUGUGGCGAGACAAUUUGGAAAAGAAAAAAGAGGGGGGAAAUAAAACAAGUCCCGACUAUCUACAGUCUG